This 960-nucleotide ribosomal RNA is filed under the name Candidatus Bathyarchaeota archaeon. RNAcentral's name for it is "partial 23S ribosomal RNA". It matches the Rfam family "Archaeal large subunit ribosomal RNA", at positions 1 to 942 of the family's 2987-position model. The record is from RNAcentral. Lineage: Archaea; Thermoproteati; Candidatus Bathyarchaeota.
AGGUCCGACAUGCUACGCCGUCUGGAGGAUGGCUCGGCUUGAGCGCUGAAGAAGGGCGCGGCCAGCCGCGAAAGAGCCCCGGGUAAGCGUAUGCAGCUUUAGAACCGGGGAUUCCUGAAUGGGACUUCCUGUUGCAAUUUCCUUCGGGAACUUGUGGCGCUCCCAAAUAGGAGCGGGAACCCCCCGAACGGAAACAUCUUAGUAGGGGGAGGAAAAGAAACCAAAUGGGAUUCCCUCAGUAGCAGCGAGCGAAAAGGGAAAAGUCCAAACCGAAUCCCACAGGGAAACUUGCGGGAGAUGUAGGGUUAUGGGCCCGGCUUCCUCCUCACCGGCGAAGCUGAAGUGGCCUGGAAAGGCCCGCCAUAGAGGGUGAAAGCCCCGUAAGCGUAAGCUGGAAGGAGUUGAGCCGGAGUCCCAGAGUACCGUACCCUAGUUUUGGUGCGGAAAGUUGGGAGCCACCAACUUCCAAGACUAAAUACGUCUCAAGACCGAUAGCGCACUAGUACGGUGACGGAAAACUGAAAAGCACCCCGGAAGGGGGGUGAAAAGUGCCUGAAACCAGACGGUUACAGACGUGUGCAGCCCGGAAGGGUAGAUCCCUCCCAAAGGAACCCACCGUGAGGCGGCAGUACGAGGGAGGGGGACCAGGGUUGCACGUUCCGUCUCGAAACACGGACCGGGGAGUUCACGGCUGUGGCAAGCCUAAGGGUCUAAAGCCCGUAGGCGUAGGGAAACCAACAUGCGCGCAGCCAGCUUUAGGGCUGGUGAGGUGCGGAGUCUGAAAGGACCCGGAGUUACAGCUGUGAAACUAGAAACCGGGCGAUCUAUCCCUGGGCAGGGCGAAGCCAGGCGAAAGUCUGGUGGAGGCCCGAAAGGGUGCUGACGUGCAAUUCGUUCCCCAGACCUGGGGUUAGGGGCUAAAGACCAAUCUAGCCCGGUGAUAGCUAGUUCCCUCCGAAG